GCAUCAUUGGUCUAGUGGUAGAAUACAACGUUGCCAUCGUUGUGACCCGAGUUCGUUUCUCGGAUGAUGCA
This is a non-coding RNA of Perkinsus marinus ATCC 50983, 71 nucleotides long. NCBI's taxonomy places the organism in Eukaryota, Perkinsozoa, Perkinsida, Perkinsidae. The record is from Rfam.